CAGUAGCCACGGGAAUACGAAGGGGGCUAGCGUUGCUCGGAAUGACUGGGCGUAAAGCGUGCGUAGGCGGCUUUUUAAGUCGGAUGUGAAAUCCCUGAGCUUAACUCAGGAAUUGCAUUCGAUACUGGGAAGCUAGAGUAUGGGAGAGGAUGGUAGAAUUCCAGGUGUAGCGGUGAAAUGCGUAGAGAUCUGGAGGAAUACCGAUGGCGAAGGCAGCCAUCUGGCCUAAUACUGACGCUGAGGUACGAAAGCAUGGGGAGCAAACAGGAUUAGAUACCCGAGUAGUCCCUGUCUCUUAUAA
This 301-nucleotide ribosomal RNA is filed under the name uncultured bacterium. Its description in RNAcentral is "partial 16S ribosomal RNA". It matches the Rfam family "Bacterial small subunit ribosomal RNA", at positions 509 to 809 of the family's 1533-position model. The record is from RNAcentral.